CUACACAUAUUACACAAUAGUGCACAAUCAAUAGAAGAGGAAAUAAUAACAAAACUUUGUGAAUGGUCAUUGAAGCAGCGUUAAUAUGACUGUGAUACAACUGCUGGCGUAUGUUGCACUACAGGUAGACAACACAAAGGAGUCUAUAAAUACCUGAAUGAACAACAUGAUUCUAUUCCUGAUUUUUGUGUGUUUUGUUCAGGAAUCAUCUUCAAUUAAGGGAUUCAAAUUUUCGAAUUUUCCAUUUAACGUAACACCUGUUACACAAUGCCCACGUAACAGAGAAGAAUGGGAAGCUGCAAGUGUAAGACUACAGUGUACACGUGACGAAGGAUAUCACUGUGUUGCAGAGUACUCGAUAACUUCGCUUAUAGAGUUCUGUUAUCCACUAGGAAAUUGGAUUCUAUUUGAAAAAGGAAAUUGUCCAGUACUAUCAUCGACAGGACGAUUAAACAACGUCAAGUGCAGUAAUUUUACAUUUGGUUGCCCUGACAAAACACAUUACAGCAAUGAAAUUUUUAAUUAUCCAGCUUGUUUGAUGGUAGUGUUUGGCUGUUUCUCGACCGACUUAAUAUGCCUAGAUGAAAA
Molecule: long non-coding RNA, 588 nt
Organism: Saccostrea cuccullata (small rock oyster)
Lineage: Eukaryota; Metazoa; Mollusca; Bivalvia; Ostreida; Ostreidae
Exons: 6
Source: RefSeq, a predicted model, not a curated record